Molecule: long non-coding RNA, 344 nt
Organism: Myotis davidii
Lineage: Eukaryota; Metazoa; Chordata; Mammalia; Chiroptera; Vespertilionidae
Exons: 2
Source: RefSeq, a predicted model, not a curated record
UGGAGACUUCAGGCGUUCGGGAAGGUUCUAGAAAUCACGACUGGCAGAUUUCCGGAUUAUCUCAGACCUGCAGAUACAUCUACCCACCGAGUGACUUGAAUUUUUUUUCCUCGAACAUGACUCCAGGCUCUGCUUUUAUUAGUGAGUGUCCUGUUCCCACCGCCCAGUGAUUUAUGGUUAAAUUACUCAAGUGUCUGAAAAGAACUAGGACUCUACCCAGCCAUGAGGCAGACUCUCCCACUCCACACCCCCAACUGUGCGGCGAGGAAUUCUUUAGAUACCACAAAAUCGUACCAUCUUACCCCACCUAAAAUUGUUAUGGGUACGCCACACACACAAAAAGU